GUGAAGCGGCAACAGCUCAAAUUUGAAAUCUGGCCCUCGGGUCCGAGUUGUAAUUUGUAGAGGAUGCUUUUGGUGCGGUACCUUCCGAGUUCCCUGGAACGGGACGCCAUAGAGGGUGAGAGCCCCGUCUGGUUGGAUACCAAUCCUCUGUAAAGCUCCUUCGACGAGUCGAGUAGUUUGGGAAUGCUGCUCUAAAUGGGAGGUAUAUGUCUUCUAAAGCUAAAUACCGGCCAGAGACCGAUAGCGCACAAGUAGAGUGAUCGAAAGAUGAAAAGCACUUUGAAAAGAGGGUUAAACAGUACGUGAAAUUGUUGAAAGGGAAGCGCUUGUGACCAGACUUGGGCAUGGUUAAUCAUCCAGCGUUCUCGCUGGUGCACUUGGCCUGCCCAGGCCAGCAUCAGUUCGGUGCGGGGGAUAAAGGCUUCGGGAAUGUGGCUCCUCCGGGAGUGUUAUAGCCCGUUGUGCAAUACCCUGCGCUGGACUGAGGUUCGCGCAUCUGCAUGGAUGCUGGCGUAAUGGUCAUCAGCGACCCGUCUUGAAACACGGACCAAGGAGUCGUCCUCGUAUGCGAGUGUUCGGGUGUUAAACCCCUACGCGUAAUGAAAGUGAACGCAGGUGAGAGCUUCGGCGCAUCAUCGACCGAUCCUGAUGUUCUCGGAUGGAUUUGAGUAAGAGCAUACGGGGCCGGACCCGAAAGAAGGUGAACUAUGCCUGUAUAGGGUGAAGCCAGAGGAAACUCUGGUGGAGGCUCGCAGCGGUUCUGACGUGCAAAUCGAUCGUCAAAUAU
This 787-nucleotide ribosomal RNA is filed under the name Xenoacremonium recifei. RNAcentral describes it as "eukaryotic LSU rRNA". It matches the Rfam family "Eukaryotic large subunit ribosomal RNA", at positions 93 to 912 of the family's 3401-position model. The record is from RNAcentral. Lineage: Eukaryota; Fungi; Ascomycota; Sordariomycetes; Hypocreales; Nectriaceae.